Molecule: ribosomal RNA, 815 nt
Filed under: Hydropisphaera suffulta
Lineage: Eukaryota; Fungi; Ascomycota; Sordariomycetes; Hypocreales; Bionectriaceae
Description: eukaryotic LSU rRNA
Rfam family: Eukaryotic large subunit ribosomal RNA
Source: RNAcentral
CCUCAGUAACGGCGAGUGAAGCGGCAACAGCUCAAAUUUGAAAUCUGGCCCUAGGCCCGAGUUGUAAUUUGCAGAGGAUGUUUCUGGCGAGGUGCCUUCCGAGUGCCCUGGAACGGGACGCCAUAGAGGGUGAGAGCCCCGUACGGUUGGUCGCUAAGCCUCUGUGAAACUCCUUCGACGAGUCGAGUAGUUUGGGAAUGCUGCUCUAAAUGGGAGGUAUACGUCUUCUAAAGCUAAAUACCGGCCAGAGACCGAUAGCGCACAAGUAGAGUGAUCGAAAGAUGAAAAGCACUUUGAAAAGAGGGUUAAACAGUACGUGAAAUUGUUGAAAGGGAAGCGCUCAUGACCAGACUUGGGCCGGUUGAUCAUCCGCCGUUCUCGGCGGUGCACUCUGCCGGCUCAGGCCAGCAUCAGUUUGGUCCGGGGGAUAAAGGUGUAGGGAAUGUGGCUCCCCCCGGGGAGUGUUAUAGCCCUGCGCGUAAUACCCUGGACUGGACUGAGGUUCGCGCAUCUGCAAGGAUGCUGGCGUAAUGGUUAUCAGUGACCCGUCUUGAAACACGGACCAAGGAGUCGUCUUCGUAUGCGAGUGUUCGGGUGUCAAACCCCUACGCGUAAUGAAAGUGAACGUAGGAGAGAGCUUCGGCGCAUCUCCGACCGAUCCUGAUGUUCUCGGAUGGAUUUGAGUAAGAGCAUACGGGGCCGGACCCGNAAAGAAGGUGAACUAUGCCUGUAUAGGGGUGAAGCCAGAGGAAACUCUGGUGGAGGCUCGCAGCGGUUCUGACGUGCAAAUCGAUCGUCAAAUAUGGGCAUGGGGG